GGUUCUAUAGCUCAGAUGAAUAGAGCAGGAUUCUUCUAAAAUCCGGGUCAUGGGUUUGAGUCCCAUUGGAACCA
RNAcentral lists this transfer RNA (74 nucleotides) under Caudoviricetes sp. RNAcentral's name for it is "tRNA-Arg". It matches the Rfam family "tRNA". From Rfam's summary of the family: Transfer RNA (tRNA) molecules are approximately 80 nucleotides in length. Their secondary structure includes four short double-helical elements and three loops (D, anti-codon, and T loops). The record is from RNAcentral. Lineage: Duplodnaviria; Heunggongvirae; Uroviricota; Caudoviricetes.